AUGGUGGUCAUUGACAAGUUUACAAAAUAUGGCCAUUUUAUUCCUGUCAAACACGCAUACACUACCCAAAAAAUUGCUGAUCUCUUCUUGGACAAUAUCUACAAGCUUCAUGGCAUGCCUCUCUAUAUAGUGUCUGACAGGGAUCCAAUGUUCACAAGGAAAUUUUGGCAAUCUCUGGUAAAGAGGACAUGA
This 192-nucleotide ribosomal RNA is filed under the name Triticum aestivum (bread wheat). Its description in RNAcentral is "partial small subunit ribosomal RNA". The record is from RNAcentral. Lineage: Eukaryota; Viridiplantae; Streptophyta; Magnoliopsida; Poales; Poaceae.